CAGGAAGCAGCUUGCUGCUUCGCUGACGAGUGGCGGACGGGUGAGUAAUGUCUGGGAAACUGCCUGAUGGAGGGGGAUAACUACUGGAAACGGUAGCUAAUACCGCAUAACGUCGCAAGACCAAAGAGGGGGACCUUCGGGCCUCUUGCCAUCGGAUGUGCCCAGAUGGGAUUAGCUAGUAGGUGGGGUAACGGCUCACCUAGGCGACGAUCCCUAGCUGGUCUGAGAGGAUGACCAGCCACACUGGAACUGAGACACGGUCCAGACUCCUACGGGAGGCAGCAGUGGGGAAUAUUGCACAAUGGGCGCAAGCCUGAUGCAGCCAUGCCCGCGUGUAUGAAGAAGGCCUUCGGGUUGUAAAGUACUUUCAGCGGGGAGGAAGGCGAUAAGGUUUAUAACCUUGUCGAUUGACGUUACCCGCAGAAGAAUCACCGGCUAACUCCGUGCCAGCAGCCGCGGUAAUACUGAUGGUGCAAGCGUUAAUCGGAAUUACUGGGCGU
RNAcentral lists this ribosomal RNA (500 nucleotides) under uncultured bacterium. Its description in RNAcentral is "bacterial SSU rRNA". It matches the Rfam family "Bacterial small subunit ribosomal RNA", at positions 69 to 561 of the family's 1533-position model. The record is from RNAcentral.